CACGCAUCCCGUUCUUGCUUGCACACACCGCGCUUCUGCCGUCCUUGUCUUCCUCGCCUUCUCCAUCGGUACCACCCCGGUCCUGCUCCUCUUUCUCUGGCCUUUGGCAGCUCCCAUGAAACCCUAAUCCCCAAAACCCUCACCCGAACCAACACUGCCGCCACCGCCAUGUCGCCCCCUCUGCAGGCGCCCGACUACAAGCACAUCACGGAUGAGUCCCUUCGCGAAUGGAAGGGCCAGUCCGCCGGCGCCUUCCGCAUCCCUGAUCCGGUCCCCAUGGCGCGCUUCCUCUACGAGCUCUGCUGGGCGAUUGUGCUGGGCGACUUGCCGCCCCAGAAGAGCCGAGUGGCACUGGAGUCGGUGGUGUUCGUGGAGGAGGCACGGCGGGAGGAGGAGCUCGGCUCCGUGCUCGUUGAUAUCAUUGCCCACCUAGGACAGGACAUUACAAUAUCUGGUGAAUAUCGCAGCCGUCUUGUUAAAAUGACUAAGUCAUUUGUGGAGUCGUUGAUUACUGUGCCUAAGCUUCUGCAAGAGCGAUGUGAAGAAGAUUUCCUUUGGGAAGUUGAGCAAAGUAAGCUAAAAGGCCAGGAUUUAAAAUCCAAGGAGGUUAGGGUCAACACACGGCUUCUUUACCAGCAAACUAAAUUCAACCUCUUACGGGAGGAAAGUGAGGGCUAUGCCAAGUUGGUGACACUCCUUUGUCAAGUUGGUUCAGAUCUGGCUUGCCAGAAUUCUUCUUCGGUUACGAUCAGCAUUAUAAAGUCAUUGAUUGGCCAUUUUGAUCUGGACCCAAAUCGUGUAUUUGAUAUUGUGUUGGAAUGCUUUGAACUCUACCAAGAUAGUAACAUCUUUAAUCAGCUCAUACCUCUUUUCCCAAAGUCCCAUGCUGCCCAAAUUUUGGGGUUCAAAUUCCAGUACUAUCAACGAUUGGAUGUCAACAGCCCUGUUCCUUCUGGCCUUUUCAGAACAGCAGCUUUAUUGAUCAAAUCUGGAUUCAUCGACCUUGAUAAUGUCUAUUCUCACUUGCUUCCAAAUGACGACGAGGCGUUUGAGCAUUUUGAUUCUUUCAUUUCAAGAAGAAUUGAUGAGGCUAAUAAAAUUGGCAAAAUCAACCUUGCUGCUACUGGGAAGGACCUUAUGGAUGACGAGAAACAAGAAAUUACUAUUGAUAUGUAUACCGCAUUGGAGAUGGAAAACGAUAUAGUUGGGGAGCGAGCCCCUGAGAUGGAAAAGAACCAGAAACUUGGGCUACUUCUUGGUUUUCUCUCUGUGCAUGACUGGUAUCAUGCACAACUACUAUUUGAGCGUCUUGGGCACCUAAAUCCUGUUGAGCACAUUGAAAUCUGUGAUGGAUUAUUUAGAAUGAUUGAAAAGACAAUGUCUUCCGCAUAUCAUAUAGUUUGUCACCUGUAUUAUUACCUGCCUCCUAGAAAUGAUGCUGACCAGACAGGCACAUCUGCUGUGUCUGUAAGUUCAUUUGAUCUGCUGAAGGAGUUUUUCCAAAUGCUCACCGCUUGUGGACCAUAUCUUCAUCGUGAUACUCAAUUAUUUCAAAAGGUUUGCAGAGUAUUAAAAGCGUACUACCACUCAUCAAAAGAGUCAACCCGUGUAGCGAAUGUAGUUUCACCAGAAUCUCGAAUCGAGGAAGCACUUGGGUCGUGCUUGUUCCCUUCGUUGCAGCUUAUCCCUGCUAAUCCUGCUGUUGAUAUGGAGAUAUGGGGGGUUCUUUCCCUUCUUCCAUAUGAGGCCCGCUAUCGUCUGUAUGGUGAAUGGGAAAAGGAGACCGAACAAAACCCAAUUGUCCUUGCUGCAAGGCAAACUGCAAAGCUGGACACCAGAAGGCUCCUAAAACGGUUGGCUAAGGAAAACCUGAAGCCACUUGGACGCAUGGUGGCUAAACUUGCCCAUGCGAAUCCUAUGAUUGUGCUUCGGACAAUUGUCCAACAGGUUGAAGCAUACAGGGAUAUGAUUACACCAGUUGUGGAUGCUUUUAAGUACUUGACUCAGCUGGAGUAUGACAUCUUGCAAUAUAUUGUCAUUGAACGCUUGGCCCAAGGUGGGCGUGCAAAACUUAAAGAUGAUGGACUUAAUCUCUCAGAUUGGCUUCAAUGUCUUGCAUCCUUUUGGGGGCACCUGUGCAAGAAGCAUAAUGCUGUGGAACUGAAAAGCCUUUUGCAGUAUCUUGUUAAUCAACUGAAGAAGGGUGUGGGCAUUGAACUUGUUGUCCUGGAGGAGCUCAUUCAGCAAAUGGCGAAUGUGCAGUACACCGAGAACAUGACAGAGGAACAGGUUGAUGCUAUGGCAGGAAGUGAGACUUUGCGGCAGCAAGCUUCACUGUUCGGAGCAACAAGAAACUAUAAGGUGUUGAGUAAGUCCACAAACAGGCUAAGGGAUUCGUUGCUUCCAAAAGAUGAGCCCAAACUUGCAGUUCCUAUGUUACUGCUUAUUGCCCAGCAUCGAUCCAAGAUCAUAAUAAACGCUGAUGCCACCUAUAUCAAAAUGGUCAGUGAGCAGUUUGAUAGAUGCCAUGGGAUACUUCUUCAGUAUGUUGAGUUUCUUUCAAGCGCCGUAACUCCAACUGCCUAUGCUCAACUAAUACCUCCUUUGCAAGAUCUUGUCCAUAAAUACCACAUUGAGCCAGAGGUUGCUUUCCUUAUAUACCGCCCAGUGAUGCGGCUUUUUAAGAGCACUAAUGGAGGUGACACUUGUUGGCCUCUUGAUGAUAACGAGGAAGGAGAAUCUGUAUCAUCUGAUGAUCUUAUCUUACAUCUUGACUCGUUUCAGGAACCAAUCAUGUGGUCAGAUCUUCUUAACGCAGUCCAGUCAAUUUUGCCAGCAAAAGCUUGGAACAGUCUUUCACCAGACCUAUAUGCUGCUUUCUGGGGCUUAACACUCUAUGAUCUUCACUUUCCAAAAGACCGUUAUGAUACAGAAAUCAAGAAGCUGCACGAGAAUCUCAAACAAUUGGAGGACAACUCAGAUAAUUCUAGCAUUGCAAUUUCAAGACGUAAGAAGGACAAGGAGAGAAUCCAAGAUUUACUUGACAGACUGAACAGUGAAUCUCAGAAGCACCAGCAGCACGUUGCAUCUGUGGUCCAAAGGUUAGCUCGUGAAAAGGAUAAGUGGUUGAGCUCCAGUCCGGAUGCAAUGAAAAUCAACAUGGAAUUCUUGCAGCGCUGCAUAUUCCCACGAUGUGUUUUUAGUAUGCAAGAUGCAGUGUAUUGUGCUACAUUUGUCCAAACACUACACUCCCUUGGGACUCCCUUCUUUAACACAGUCAAUCAUAUCGAUGUUCUUGUCUGUAAAACCCUACAGCCAAUGAUAUGCUGUUGCACAGAAUUUGAAGCUGGCAGGCUUGGAAGAUUUUUUCAUGAUACGUUGAAGAUGGCCUACUAUUGGAAGAGUGAUGAAUCUGUCUAUGAGCGUGAAUGUGCGAACAAACCUGGUUUUGCAGUGUACUUCAGAUACCCAAACAGCCAGCGUGUGUCCUACAGUCAGUUUGUUCGGGUUCAUUGGAAGUGGAGUUCAAGAAUCACCAAAGCACUUAAUCAAUGUAUGGAAUCAAAAGAAUACAUGGAAAUUCGAAAUGCCCUUAUUGUCCUUACGAAGAUUUCUAGUGUCUUCCCGGUGAUUCGUAAAAGUGGUGUCAAUCUUGAGAAACGGGUGGCUAAACUAAAAGGGGAUGAAAGAGAAGAUCUUAAAGUUCUAGCCACUGGUGUAGCUGCUGCUUUAGCUGCUCGCAAGAGUUCUUGGCUAUCUGAAGAAGAGUUUGGCGGGGGUCACAUUGAUCUGAAGCCAGCAACAGCAAGAUCUGUGCUUGGAAACCAGUCAGCAGAUCUCUCGAUGGCAAAAGAUCAAAAUGCCCGUGCAAAGUCUGUAGAGAAUAGGCAUGAAAGGUCAGAGGGUGCUAUGAAGCCUGACGUUCAGCAAAAGAAGAGCACUGUGGCUUCAAAUGGAUCUGAUAUUCUAAUACAAUCUUCCUCCGUACAAGGGAAAUCUUCAGUGGUUGCACGUGCAAUGGAUGAGCCUCCAAAACCUGUGUCUGAUGAGGGGGUUAAAGUUUCUACAAAAUCUACUUCAGAAUUUGAGACAAGGGCAACACAAAAGCGUGCUGGCAAUGCUGGGAAGGUAAUGAAGCAUGAUGUUGCAAAGGAAGAUGCAAAAGCUGGGAAACCUACAAGCUGGAAUGUAAAUCAACAAGUCUCCACUGUUGAUAGAGAAGUGUCUCAUGCAGCUGAUGCUGCCCAAGAAACCAGUACCACUAUUAGCAAUGGUAACUUGCAUCCAGCGCCGCAUAAGGUUUCAUCAUCUUCUCAAAGAAAUGCAGUUACACAUAAUGGAGCAGCCAAUCCCUCUGUUGAGUCUACUGAUAUGAUUGACUCUCCUGUGAGACAGCAAAAAAGACCGCCGGUUGAGGAGCAAGAUAGAUCAGGUAAACGGAGGAAGGGAGAAAAUGAACCCGAUUUGAGUGAACACCAUGUAGACAAGGAAAAGAGUUUGGACUCACGUGGUGGAGAUAAGUUUCGUUCAGUGGAUCAUGAGAAGAGUGCUAAUGAGGAACAAAAUUUAAGAGCGGGCAAAAUAAAAGAAAAAUCUGAUGAUAAAUAUGACAGAGAUCCUAGGGAAAAAUUAGAUCGGGGUGAAAGGCGUCGUGGGGAAGAUGCCAUUGAGAGAUCAACAGAUAGAUUGUCGGACAGGAGAGAACGUUCCAUUGAAAGGAUGCAAGAGAGAGGUACAGAUAAAGCCCUUGAAAAAGGUAGAGAGGAUAGAAAUAAGGAUGAGAGGAAUAAAGUUAAAUAUGCUGAACCUUCGGUGGACCGGACACAUUCUUCUGAUGAACGAUUCCGAGGGCAAAGUUUGCCACCGCCCCCACCUCUUCCCGCAAGUUUUGUACCCCAAUCAGUUGGCGCCAACCGACGUGAAGAAGAUGCUGACCGAAGGGGUGGGAGCUCCAGGCAUGUUCAAAGGUCAUCUCCUAGGCACGAUGAGAAAGAAAGGAGGCAGUCAGAGGAGAAUAUUUCGUCAUUUCAGGAUGAUGGGAAGCACAGAAGAGAGGAAGAUAUUCGUGAUAGAAAGCGUGAGGACAGGGAUACUUUAUCAAACAAGGUAGAUGACAGGGAUAGGGAAAAGGGGACUUCUUUGAAAGAAGACAGUGAUCCUAGUAAUGUUUCUAAACGGAGAAAGAUCAAGCGAGAACAGACUUUAGAAGCUGGGGAAUAUGCACCUUCUGCUCCACAGCCUCCCUCCCAUGGAUCUGGCAGCUCACAAUUGUCUGACAUACGAGAAAGAGAAAGGAAAGGGGUAAUUUCACAGCAUCGUAUUUCACACGCUGAUGACCUUCCUAGGACACAUGGCAAGGACAUGACAAGCAAGUCAAGUCGUCGAGAGUCUGACCAAUAGGAAUAAGGUGAAAAAUCAUACCCAGAACCAUACCAUUCUGAGCUGUUGGGCGGUACAUCAUCAUCAUCCACUGGCUGCAGUAGCACUUGAUGUUUGGAGAGUGGGUCAUGAUCAUAAGAGCACCUGCGGAGGCAACAGAGAAUGCACGAGAGGGAAUGGGAAGAGGAAAAGCGACCAAGAACUGAAACGAAAAGGAAGCACCGAAAAUAGCUGAUCAAUGUUGACAUGGAUUCAGUUGAGCCUCAUAAUUUUUCUCCAAGCACAGUAGUGGAUGCACUUGAAUUUCAUGCUUUCGUGUUGUGAGGAAACAUACUUCAGCAUAUAGCUAAGCAGAUCGUUUAUUAGUGUACUGUGCCAGUUGCGGGAUGUGGCCUUUCCUGUCGAGCUCACCAAUGCGAAUUUAACAGAUGGGAGAUGAGUCAUGUUUAGCUUCAUACAUUUUGUGCUGUAAACAAUGUACAAUGUGUCAUAAUGAUUUGUACUGUGAACAUAGAUGGAUGGCUCACCAUCCGGGUAUUAUGUAUUUUAUUACUAACUGCUAAGUUGUUUGGUGUAGGAAGCAUCACCAUUUUUUUGCAUUGUGUAGGAAUAAUGUUAGGGAUGCAGCAUAAUUGAAAUGUACAUAUUUUGGCCAGAAUUUUUGCCUA
Zea mays is the source of this 6047-nucleotide RNA transcript. It is a transcript of the gene named THO complex subunit 2, with no coding region annotated. The transcript is spliced from 34 exons. Lineage: Eukaryota; Viridiplantae; Streptophyta; Magnoliopsida; Poales; Poaceae. The record is from RefSeq and is a predicted model, not a curated record.